GCAGCCGCGCAGCCGAUGGCAGCGUCCUCUCCCGCCGUCGCUGUGGGCUCGGAGCUGCCGCCGGAGCCGGGCGGCAGCGGGGGCCCCGGCGAGGGGGCGGACCGGGACCGGGAGCUGCUGCUGGCGCGACUGGUGCCCGCGAGCCGCCUGAAGGAAGCGGUGGGCGCGUCCCUGGCGUCGCUGUGCCUUGGCCCCCUCGGCGGAGCGCAGCGCCUCGGGACCCUCGUGGACUGCCUGGUGCUCAACUACCGCCUGCGGCAGGGGCCGGGCCGGGGCCGGGAGCGCGAGGCCGAGGGGUCGCUGCGCUGCUGCGGCUGCGGGAGGUUCCUGGGCGAGCCGGUGACCGUCCCGUGCGGGCACACCUACUGCCGCCGCUGCCUCCGCAGGGAGCUGCGGGCCCGCUGCCGCCGCUGCCGGGACUGGCUGCUGCCGGCGGGGGGCACCAGCACGGCCGCGGGCCCCCUGCGCACCAGCGUCGUCCUCAACCGGCUGGCGGAGAAGUGGUUCCCGGGCGAGUGCGAGCGGGCGAGGGCCGGGAGCAGGUUGGAGGAGCUGCUGGCCCAGGGCCGCUUCCGAGAUGCGCUGAGCGCCGCCGGCCAGGCCCUGCGAGCAGAUUCCAGUGACUUGAUGCUUAGGAUUUACAGAGCUGAGUCAUAUGUUGGCCUCCAAGAAUAUAAAGCAGCCAUAGAAGAUCUAAAUUUUGUUAUUUCUAAAAUGCCAAAUUGGCCAGAGGUCUACUUCCGGAAAGGAAAAGUGCUGCAAGACUCUGGCUUUGUAGGUGAUGCCUUACAACUGUUUCUACAGUGCUUAGCCCUUGAUGAGGACUUUCUUCCAGCCAAGCUAGAAGUAGAAAAGACAUUGUGUGAUGUUUUGUCACCAGAGAAGCUAGGUGAGAGUUUGAAGGAAUCUGCUUGGAAUUCAGCCCAUAUUCGAAAUAAACCUUUUCUGCUUGGUUCUGACAUGACUGUGUCUUACUGCAACUUACAGCUUUGUCCUCAGCAGAGUUCAGGAGGGUCAGAUGUACUGAAGCCUGUCAGUGGAGGCUUAAAUCGUGCACAGUCUGCCCAUGCUCUUAAUUCAACAAAAGACCUUGCCAAGGAAGAUGGCUUGAAGAGAGUGUCUUCUGAACCCCUUCUCUCUGGCCAAGGAAAAAGUGCUUUGUUAAAAAGAAAGCUUUCAUUUUCAGAACAGGAUACAGUUGUAUGUGAAGAUGGAAGAAACAAACACAAAAAGCAAGGAGAAGGUACAAAAAGGGACGUGACACUGGCUUUUGGAACAAUUCCAGGGGAUAUGAUUGAUGUAUCAGAUUUUGAAUGCUCUCUAUGUAUGAGGCUAUUCUUUGAGCCAGUGACAACCCCUUGUGGACAUACUUUUUGCAAAGGUUGUUUGGAACGGUGUUUAGAUCAUGCUCCACAGUGUCCACUUUGUAAGGAGAGCUUGAAAGAGUACCUUGCAAGCAGAAAAUAUAGUAUCACAAAACUGCUGGAGGAAUUAAUAGUGAAAUACUUGUCUGAUGAAUUAUAUGAGAGAAAAAGAAUUCAUGCUGAAGAAACUGCUGAACACUCCAACUUGACCAAGAAUGUUCCAAUGUUUGUUUGCACUAUGGCAUAUCCUACUGUGCCUUGCCCUCUACAUGUAUUUGAGCCAAGAUACCGACUCAUGAUUCGCAGGAGUAUGGAAACUGGAACUAAACAGUUUGGGAUGUGCAUAAGUGAUUCUCAAAAUGGUUUUGCAGAUUAUGGUUGCAUGCUGCAAAUAAGGAACGUUCAUUUUCUACCUGAUGGACGGUCUGUUGUUGAUACAGUUGGUGGAAAGAGAUUUAGAGUUUUACGGAGAGGGAUGAAAGAUGGGUAUUGCACUGCAGACAUUGAAUAUUUGGAAGAUGUUAAGGUUGCUGAUGAAGAAGAACUAAAGAAAUUGAGAGAGCUUCACAAUUUUGUUUACAAUCAGGCCUGCAGUUGGUUCCAAAACUUAAGGAACAAAUUUCGCACUCAAAUUCUUCAGCACUUCGGGCCAAUGCCUGACAGGGAGGAAAAUAUACAGUAAAUCCAGAAGCUGCUGUUUAACCUACAUUAAGGUUGUGAGCACUUCAUGAUGUAACUGACGUGACUCAGUUCUGACUGAGGGCUCCUUGCAGGGACUUCCACAGCCCCUCCUAUUUCCUCUGCCAGUAUAUCAGACCCGUUUUAGCUGACUGCUGCCUGCCGGAUGAAGUCCCAAAGUCUCAGAAGCAACGAGUGCCUGUGGAAGACAGCCUGUUCAUUUUUUUCUGAAAAAAGACUUGAACUUGAUGCUUGAUAUUCAGAAGCAUCUGUUGAGCUUCUGGCAACUUGUUUGCUGUACUAUUUUUCUGUGAAGAUACCCUCCUACUGGUGAUGAUAUCUGUCAGCAGGAGGGGAGAGAGAAAAGCUGUUACAGUUAAUUCUUUUACCAAGUUCCACACAAAUACAUCUUCACUCCUUCUUAAAAGACGCUUUGAAUUUUACCUUCCACACGCAUCAACAAAUCUUCUAAUAUCUUCUUUACACUCAGGACAUACUUUUCAGGAAAUAAAUCCUGCAGAAAGCUCCCCACCCUAGCUGAACUGACAUUUCGUAGUUGUCAUGAUGUCCAUACAGAAGAAAGUUAACAGAGCCUGUCUGAGGCCUGCUACAAGACUCUUGAGGCAGAAACCCAAAGCUCUAGAGCCAACCUCUGUUGUGGUUACUUAAGGAAAUAAACUGAGACAGUGUGGGGGAAAAGGGGAAAUUAAGAUCUUCCCUUCCUACAGAUCUCUGCAUGCCUGUGGUGGUUAAAGCACUCUUCUGAAAAUGAAAGGAAAGGUUAAGUUUUGUCCUUUCCCCCAGCAGAAAGGGGAUCAAGUUGCUUAUAACCAGGGUGUUUGUUCUAACAUGUAGUACAGUGCAGGUUAUGUUUUGUGUAGAUGGGUGACUGAGUAUCCUGAUAAGGCUUAGGUGAGUACCAGGCUGUUCUGCCCUGUUAAGUCCUAAAGUGCUUCUGCUUUUGCAAAAGCACAACAGCAGGUGCUUAAGUGGCUUUAGGUCUCUCCUGCCCAAGCAGCCAUUGCACAGCAACACUGAGGAGCUUUGAAUGCACACACUUAGAUCUGAAAUGGAGCAGGGAUUUGGGAACUGGGACUGCAACAUCAUUCUUGAGGUACUUAAACUCUGAUAGAAAUUCAGGGUUUGUGUUGGAUUUUUUUAUUUUGCUUUUUAUCAACCAUCUAUGAAACUUGAAAGCUUUUUCCUUUUGCAUGUACCUUGAAACAAAUCUUGAUUGUUCAAACAACCUUUACACCUUAUUUUUGUCUGAGCCCAGAAAUUGAUCAUUCUCAUGUGUAAGCUUUUGGAAGUUUUGAACAGGAAGUGCUCUGAAAAUGCAUGACAUGACAACUGCAACACAAUCCAAAUACAGUGCAACUGGCACCUCUGAUUUUAUUUUGAAACAUGGCUCAAGAUUUCUGACACUAUUUCACAAUUAAGUUGCAUUGCUAAAGAAAUCACUGAGGCUGUGAGAGGAGGUCCAAAUGCCCACUCCAGUGAGGGAACAAUCGUGAUUUUUCAUGAGUAUGAAUUACUUCAAAACAGGGACUCCCUUAAUGCCAUCCCCAAGAAACCUAAAGCACAUCCUUGGCCAUCAGCUCAUUUUUGCAGCUCCCCCCCAGGCAAUGGAUAUUGAAACCAUACUUUCACUGUCCUGUAUAGGCACUUUAACCUUUGAGCUGUGGAUGAAUAACAAACCAGUGGAAGCUGUGACUUGAUUUUUCCCAGAAUGUUUUUUUUGGGGGGAGUUGAAUUUUUUUGGAAACAAAGUGAUAUAAAAACUGAGCACCGGAUGUCACUCACCUGUACCUGAAGCAAUGUAGAAUGUAAACCAAGUUCUGCCCUCAGCACUUUCCUCUCCUGAGUCCAAAAAGUUCUUCGCUAAUAUCUUUUAAGAACAUAUACUGUUAAACAGGUAACUCUGCUAAUUAGGACAUGAUCUAGUCCAGGGUCCUAGGUUCCACAGCAGAUGCUUAAAAAUUAGACUUCCAUUACAACUCAAUUUACAAAAUACAAAUAAACCUCAGUAACUGCUCUAUGUAAUAGUUUCUGUGAAGAUAAAAGCACAUUUCAAGGUAAGAAUUUGUUGGGAUUGUUUGUAAAAUUGGACCAAAAAAAGCACAAGGGCUAAAAGAGAAUUUCUGACUGAAGCGAUUUUCAGGUUAUUGCAUCAGUGUAACAGUUGGAAUGCUGAAUCAAGGGGAAUUAUGUUCAUUUCACAGCAAAAGCUUCGUGAAGAAGUUCCAGCUGAACUAAACCACUGAUAUACAACACUUCGGCCUUUAGGACAACUACAUUAAGUCCUUGCAGAUAUGAUAGACUUUGCAAGUUUUGUCUGCUGAUCACAGCAACACGCUGUUAAUGUUGGCUGCUGUGUCUUACUGCUUCUUUGCAAGGCAACUGCUCAAGCAAGGAUUUGCUUCUGCGAGUUCAGUACAGACUGCACAAAAAAA
This is an RNA transcript of Empidonax traillii (willow flycatcher), 4495 nucleotides long. It is a transcript of the gene named LON peptidase N-terminal domain and ring finger 1, with no coding region annotated. NCBI's taxonomy places the organism in Eukaryota, Metazoa, Chordata, Aves, Passeriformes, Tyrannidae. The transcript is spliced from 13 exons. The record is from RefSeq and is a predicted model, not a curated record.